AUUGAACGCUGGCGGCAGGCCUAACACAUGCAAGUCGAGCGGAUGACGGGAGCUUGCUCCUUGAUUCAGCGGCGGACGGGUGAGUAAUGCCUAGGAAUCUGCCUGGUAGUGGGGGACAACGUUUCGAAAGGAACGCUAAUACCGCAUACGUCCUACGGGAGAAAGCAGGGGACCUUCGGGCCUUGCGCUAUCAGAUGAGCCUAGGUCGGAUUAGCUAGUUGGUGAGGUAAUGGCUCCCCAAGGCGACGAUCCGUAACUGGUCUGAGAGGAUGAUCAGUCACACUGGAACUGAGACACGGUCCAGAGUCCUACGGGAGGCAGCAGUGGGGAAUAUUGGACAAUGGGCGAAAGCCUGAUCCAGCCAUGCCGCGUGUGUGAAGAAGGUCUUCGGAUUGUAAAGCACUUUAAGUUGGGAGGAAGGGCAGUAAGUUAAUACCUUGCUGUUUUGACGUUACCAACAGAAUAAGCACCGGCUAACUCUGUGCCAGCAGCCGCCGUAA
This 500-nucleotide ribosomal RNA is filed under the name uncultured bacterium. RNAcentral's name for it is "partial 16S ribosomal RNA". It matches the Rfam family "Bacterial small subunit ribosomal RNA", at positions 30 to 523 of the family's 1533-position model. The record is from RNAcentral.